This is a non-coding RNA of Coturnix japonica (Japanese quail), 518 nucleotides long. The record is from RefSeq and is a predicted model, not a curated record. NCBI's taxonomy places the organism in Eukaryota, Metazoa, Chordata, Aves, Galliformes, Phasianidae.
UUACAGCACCGUGUUACAGCACCGCGCCCGGGGCGCCCCGGGACCGCAGGGCACCCACAGCUGCUCGCAGGCACACGUUGUGCGGGUUUACAGGAGCCUCGUUUGCUAAAUUAAUCAGAGGGAACCAAAGGGCUGAGCCGGGUGUGCCGGCCUUGUGAUGCAUUGUGAGUCCACUCAGCUGUUCGUUUAAUCAUCGGGAUAAUUAGCCCAAAAGAAACCUGGAGGGGCAACCACAGCUUUUUCUGAUUGCUGCCUCUGGUGGAAUAGCAGGGGCUGAGAAUGCAAUAACUGGAGAGGGAACCAGUUAUCCAAACCAUGCUCCGUGAAACCCGGAUUUCUCUGGGGAGGUUUCAUGCUAAUGGUGUCACACCUCCAGCGCAGCACGGUGUGAAUGACUCUCCAACAUCAGGUUUAAACUGGAACCGAGCUGUUUGACCACAUGUUUCACUGCCAAACAAAAAAUGAUACUUCUCACCAUGUGGAUACAAAAGCAAACAGCGAAUUCAUUUAAGCCUGAA